AACGAACGCUGGCGGCAUGCCUAACACAUGCAAGUCGAACGAGACCUUCGGGUCUAGUGGCGCACGGGUGCGUAACGCGUGGGAACCUGCCCUUAGGUUCGGAAUAACUCCCCGAAAGGGGUGCUAAUACCGGAUAAUGUCUUCGGACCAAAGAUUUAUCGCCUUUGGAUGGGCCCGCGUUGGAUUAGCUAGUUGGUAGGGUAAAAGCCUAGCAAGGCGACGAUCCAUAGCUGGUCUGAGAGGAUGAUCAGCCACACUGGGACUGCGACACGGCCCAGACUCCUACGGGAGGCAGCAGUGGGGAAUAUUGGACAAUGGGCGAAAGCCUGAUCCAGCAAUGCCGCGUGAGUGAUGAAGGCCUUAGGGUUGUAAAGCUCUUUUACCCGGGAUGAUAAUGACAGUACCGGGAGAAUAAGCUCCGGCUAACUCCGUG
This 433-nucleotide ribosomal RNA is filed under the name uncultured bacterium. Its description in RNAcentral is "partial 16S ribosomal RNA". It matches the Rfam family "Bacterial small subunit ribosomal RNA", at positions 29 to 507 of the family's 1533-position model. The record is from RNAcentral.